This 496-nucleotide ribosomal RNA is filed under the name uncultured bacterium. RNAcentral's name for it is "bacterial SSU rRNA". It matches the Rfam family "Bacterial small subunit ribosomal RNA", at positions 28 to 507 of the family's 1533-position model. The record is from RNAcentral.
GAUGAACGCUAGCUACAGGCUUAACACAUGCAAGUCGAGGGGUAACGAGAGGGAAGCUUGCUUUCCUUGUCGACGACCGGCGAAUGGGUGAGUAACGCGUAUCCAACCUGCCCUUCAGUAAGGGAUAGCCUUUCGAAAGAAAGAAUAAUACCUUAUAAUAUCGUUUGAUGACAUCAGACGACGAUUAAAGAUUUAUCGCUGAAGGAUGGGGAUGCGUCCCAUUAGGCAGUAGGCGGGGUAACGGCCCACCUAACCUACGAUGGGUAGGGGUUCUGAGAGGAAGGUCCCCCACAUUGGAACUGAGACACGGUCCAAACUCCUACGGGAGGCAGCAGUGAGGAAUAUUGGUCAAUGGCCGUAAGGCUGAACCAGCCAAGUAGCGUGCAGGAUGACGGCCCUAUGGGUUGUAAAGCUCUGUUAUAAGGGACGAACAGCUUUGCUAGGAAAUGAGCAGAGUCUGACGGUACUUUAUCAGAAAGCCACGGCUAACUACGUG